UUUCGGUAGGUUGACCUGCCGUUGGAUCAGU
Molecule: ribosomal RNA, 31 nt
Filed under: Trichomonas gallinae
Lineage: Eukaryota; Parabasalia; Trichomonadida; Trichomonadidae
Description: partial 18S small subunit ribosomal RNA
Source: RNAcentral